Molecule: ribosomal RNA, 310 nt
Filed under: uncultured bacterium
Lineage: Bacteria
Description: bacterial SSU rRNA
Rfam family: Bacterial small subunit ribosomal RNA
Source: RNAcentral
AAUCAACGCUGGCGGCGUGCCUCAGACAUGCAAGUCGAACGCGAAAGGUUCCUUCGGGAACCGAGUAGAGUGGCGCACGGGUGAGUAACACGUAGGUAAUUUGCCUUUGGGUGGGAAUAACAGCCGGAAACGGCUGCUAAUACCGCAUAAUGCAGCGGCUCGACAUCGAGACAGUUGUUAAAGCGGGGAUCGCAAGACCUCGCGCCUAAAGAGAAGCCUGCGGCAGAUUAGCUAGUUGGUAGGGUAAUGGCCUACCAAGGCGACGAUCUGUAACCGGCCUGAGAGGGCGGUCGGUCACACUGACACUGAC